GUGGGGAAUCUUCCGCAAUGGACGAAAGUCUGACGGAGCGACGCCGCGUGAGUGAAGAAGGCCUUCGGGUCGUAAAGCUCUGUCAUCAGGGACGAACGGCCGGUGGAGUGGAAAGCCACCGGAUUGACGGUACCUGAGAAGGAAGCCACGGCUAACUACGUGCCAGCAGCCGCGGUAAUACGUAGGUGGCAAGCGUUGUCCGGAAUUAUUGGGCGUAAAGCGCGCGCAGGUGGGAUCUUAAGUCCAUUGUUAAAGUUCGGAGCUCAACUCCGUGAUGGGAUGGAAACUGGGAUUCUUGAGUACCGGAGAGGAAAGCGGAAUUCCCCGUGUAGCGGUGAAAUGCGUAGAUAUGGGGAGGAACACCAGUGGCGAAGGCGGCUUUCUGGACGGUGUCUGACACUGAGGCGCGAAAGCCAGGGGAGCGAACGGGAUUAGAUACCCCGGUAGUCC
RNAcentral lists this ribosomal RNA (450 nucleotides) under uncultured bacterium. RNAcentral's name for it is "partial 16S ribosomal RNA". It matches the Rfam family "Bacterial small subunit ribosomal RNA", at positions 354 to 796 of the family's 1533-position model. The record is from RNAcentral.